AAAAUAAAUUAUUACCACUAUAUAAACAAUAUAUUGGAAUAAAAAAUUACCACUGUAUAACAUACACUAUUUAUAGUACGUAUUCCAUGCCCAGUCCUGUGCC
This is a long non-coding RNA of Sapajus apella (tufted capuchin), 103 nucleotides long. RefSeq lists it as uncharacterized. The transcript is spliced from 3 exons. The record is from RefSeq and is a predicted model, not a curated record. NCBI's taxonomy places the organism in Eukaryota, Metazoa, Chordata, Mammalia, Primates, Cebidae.